AGGUGGGCACUCCUGAGGCUGCAGAGCGGAAGAGACCACCAACACUGCCCAACCCUGCCCACAUCCCUGGCCCAAGAGGAAACUGUAUACGGCCUCUGGGUUCCCGUAGAGGAGGGCCCAGGAGCAGCAGGUCUGCUGUGUCUGAGACACCACCAGAACCUGAAGGGACCAACCAGAUAAACAGUUCUCUGCACCCAAAUCCCAUGGGAGGGAGAGCUAAACCUUCAGAGAGGCAGACACGCCUGGGAAACCAGAAGAGACUGCACUCUGCACACAUUACUGAUUCCAGAGGAAAACACCAAACGCCAUCUGGAACCCUGGUGCACGGAAGCUCCUGGAAAGGGCAGCAGAGAUCUUCCUGGUGGCUGCCGCCACAGAGAGCUCAUAAGCAACACCCCACGAGCAAACUUGAGCUUUGGGACCACAGGUAAGACCAACUUUUCUGCUGCAAGCGACCUGCCUGGUGAACUCAAGACACAGGCCCACAGGAACAGCUGAAGACCUGUAGAUAGGAAAAACUACACGCCCGAAAGCAGAACACUCUGUCCCCAUAACUGGCUGAAAAAAAAACAGGAAAA
Molecule: long non-coding RNA, 578 nt
Filed under: Rattus norvegicus (Norway rat)
Lineage: Eukaryota; Metazoa; Chordata; Mammalia; Rodentia; Muridae
Description: long non-coding RNA NONRATT019498
Source: RNAcentral